UUUUUGUUUUGAAUUUUCGUUGUUCUGAGUCCAUGAUAUAUUAAAAGUUUUGUUCCUUGUCCCUGCAGUCAAUUAAGUGAUAACGUGGUACCAUCCUAACAUAUAUUGAAAGAGCCGUUGAGAUAAUGUCACAUCAUCACUUAACUCACAACAGGAACUUGAAACAAAACUUUUAAUAUAUCAGGGAUUCAAAACAACGAAAAAAUUUAUCAAGGA
Molecule: microRNA precursor, 216 nt
Filed under: Glycine max (soybean)
Lineage: Eukaryota; Viridiplantae; Streptophyta; Magnoliopsida; Fabales; Fabaceae
Description: miR5780b stem-loop (gma-MIR5780b)
Source: miRBase by way of RNAcentral